RNAcentral lists this ribosomal RNA (229 nucleotides) under uncultured bacterium. RNAcentral's name for it is "partial 16S ribosomal RNA". It matches the Rfam family "Bacterial small subunit ribosomal RNA", at positions 104 to 334 of the family's 1533-position model. The record is from RNAcentral.
CGGGGUGAGUAAUGUCUGGGAAACUGCCUGAUGGAGGGGGAUAACUACUGGAAACGGUAGCUAAUACCGCAUAACGUCGCAAGACCAAAGUGGGGGACCUUCGGGCCUCAUGCCAUCGGAUGUGCCCAGAUGGGAUUAGCUAGUAGGUGGGGUAACGGCUCACCUAGGCGACGAUCCCUAGCUGGUCUGAGAGGAUGACCAGCCACACUGGAACUGAGACACGGUCCAG